This 274-nucleotide ribosomal RNA is filed under the name uncultured bacterium. RNAcentral describes it as "partial 16S ribosomal RNA". It matches the Rfam family "Bacterial small subunit ribosomal RNA", at positions 523 to 796 of the family's 1533-position model. The record is from RNAcentral.
AUACGAAGGGGGCUAGCGUUGUUCGGAAUCACUGGGCGUAAAGCGCGCGUAGGUGGAUCAAUUAGUUGAGGGUGAAAUCCCGGGGCUCAACCUCGGAACUGCCUCCAAUACUGUUGAUCUUGAGACCGAGAGAGGUGAGUGGAAUUCCUAGUGUAGAGGUGAAAUUCGUAGAUAUUAGGAAGAACACCAGUGGCGAAGGCGGCUCACUGGCUCGGUACUGACGCUGAGGUGCGAAAGCGUGGGGAGCAAACAGGAUUAGAAACCCUAGUAGUCC